This 379-nucleotide ribosomal RNA is filed under the name uncultured eukaryote. Its description in RNAcentral is "partial 18S ribosomal RNA". It matches the Rfam family "Eukaryotic small subunit ribosomal RNA", at positions 592 to 976 of the family's 1831-position model. The record is from RNAcentral.
CAAUAGCGUAUAUUAAAGUUGUUGCAGUUAAAAAGCUCGUAGUUGAACUUCAGACCUGGCCGGGCGGUCUGCCUAACGGUAUGUACUGUCUGGCUGGGUAUUACCUCUUGGUGAGCCGGCAUGCCCUUCACUGGGUGUGUCGGGGAACCAGGACUUUUACCUUGAGAAAAUUAGAGUGUUCAAAGCAGGCCUAUGCCUGAAUACAUUAGCAUGGAAUAAUAAAAUAGGACGUGCGGUUCUAUUUUGUUGGUUUCUAGAGUCGCCGUAAUGAUUAAUAGGGAUAGUUGGGGGCAUUAGUAUUCAGUUGCUAGAGGUGAAAUUCUUGGAUUUACUGAAGACUAACUACUGCGAAAGCAUUUGCCAAGGAUGUUUUCAUUAA